UACGUAGGGUGCAAGCGUUGUCCGGAAUUAUUGGGCGUAAAGGGCGUGUAGGCGGUUUGUUAAGUCAUGUGUGAAAUCCCUCGGCUCAACCGGGGAACGACGCAUGAAACUGGCAAGCUAGAGUACCAAAGAGGGGGGUGGAAUUCCCGGUGUAGCGGUGAAAUGCGUAGAUAUCUGGAGGAACACCGGUGGCGAAAGCGGCUUACUGGAUCGAAUCUGACGCUGAGGUGCGAAAGCUAGGGUAGCAAACGGG
RNAcentral lists this ribosomal RNA (253 nucleotides) under uncultured bacterium. RNAcentral's name for it is "partial 16S ribosomal RNA". It matches the Rfam family "Bacterial small subunit ribosomal RNA", at positions 524 to 776 of the family's 1533-position model. The record is from RNAcentral.